GCUCCAGCCCUAAAUGUUGUAGGUUUUUAAAAUAACUUUGUUACUUUGAGUCAUUUCCCCUCAGUCUCUCUGACUGGAUCGCAAAGUCAAUGGAGCAGAAGUUCUGUUACUUCGGUAAUAUUGCCUUAAUUUUAAGAUUAGUAAUGCUGUUUACACCAAAUUCCUACCCUACCUACAUGAUGUUACAUAACUU
Long non-coding RNA from Etheostoma spectabile (orangethroat darter), 193 nucleotides. RefSeq lists it as uncharacterized. The transcript is spliced from 3 exons. NCBI's taxonomy places the organism in Eukaryota, Metazoa, Chordata, Actinopteri, Perciformes, Percidae. The record is from RefSeq and is a predicted model, not a curated record.